CCUACGGGGAGCAGCAGUGAGGAAUAUUGGUCAAUGGCCGGAAGGCUGAACCAGCCAUGCCGCGUGAAGGUCAGUGCCCUAUGGGCGUUAAACUUCUUUUGUGCGGGAGCCAAAAUGGUCACGUGUGGCCAGACGAGAGUACCGUACGAAUAAGCAUCGGCUAACUCCGUGCCAGCAGCCGCGGUAAUACGGGGGGUGCAAGCGUUAUCCGGAGUUAUUGGGUUUAAAGGGUGCGUAGGCUGCGAGGUAAGUCAGCGGUGAAAUGCCCCCGCUCAACGGGGUGAAGUGCCAUUGAUACUGGCGGGCUGGAAUGCGGAUGCCGUGGGAGGAAUGUGUGGUGUAGCGGUGAAAUGCAUAGAUAUCACACAGAACACCGAUUGCGAAGGCAGCUCACGAAUCCGCGAUUGACGCUGAUGCACGAAAGCGUGGGUAUCAAACAGGAUUAGAUACCCCUGUAGUC
Molecule: ribosomal RNA, 460 nt
Filed under: uncultured bacterium
Lineage: Bacteria
Description: partial 16S ribosomal RNA
Rfam family: Bacterial small subunit ribosomal RNA
Source: RNAcentral